Molecule: long non-coding RNA, 1127 nt
Organism: Gallus gallus (chicken)
Lineage: Eukaryota; Metazoa; Chordata; Aves; Galliformes; Phasianidae
Source: Ensembl
ACCAGAACAACUGACCCCAGCAGGCCAAAGGGAUGUCCUGUACUAUGUGGCACCGUGCUGAAUAAUGCAACUGGGGGACCUGUCUGAGGAGCUACCCCUACUCUGGCUCUGGCUAGGUAUUUGUCAGCAGCCUAGGUUUAAAUAGAAAGAAUUAACUUGGAUAUCUGUGGAGCCUGCAAAGCCAUACUAAGAGCCUUCAGACACGUGGAAGUGUAUUUGCAAGUCAGAGGGGGUGUCCUCCCAGCUGUGAUCCUUUAUCAUCAAAUUCGGAGACUUCAGGUCUCUUCCUCCCUGCGAGCCCAGAAGGACUCCCAAGAACCAGAUGAGGCUUCUCAUAAGGAAGGACUCUACAUCAUCUUAUCUAGAGCUGGCACCUGUGUGAGGCCUUCUGGAGAAACAGCCGUGAAUAUUUAACAAGAGAUAUAAAAAUACAAGGAAAUGAAGACGGAUGUAAGAAGUGCUCUAGCAACCAUUUGUGCUUCAUCUGGAUUUCCCAUAAAACCAAGGGGUUCCAUCUUUUUGCUCAUGGAAUGGCUUGGGUUGGAAGGAAUCUCAAGAAUCAUCAAGUUCCAAGCACCCCUGCUACAGGCAGGGUUUCCAACCGCUUGAUCAAGUAGAAGACCAGGCUGCCCAGGACCCCAUUCAACCUGGCCUUGAACACCUCCAGGAAUGGGGCAUCCACAACCCCUCUGGGCAGACUGUUCCAGCACCUCACCACUCUCUAAGUGAAAAACUUUCCCCUGAUAUCUUAUCUAAAUAUUCCCUCCUUUCAUUUAAAACCACCAUUCCCUUUUGUCCUAUCACUAUCUACCUGUGUAAAAAGUUGGUUUACCUCCCUUUUAUAAAUUCCCUUUUAUUAUUCAAAGGUUGCAAUGAGGUCUCCCUGCAGACUUCUCUUUUCCAGGCUGAACAACCCCAGUUCCUUCAGUCUGUCUUCAUAGGAGAGGUGCUCCAGCCCUCUCUUCAGCUUUGUGGCCCUCCUCUGGACCCUCUCCAACAGCUCCAUAUCUUACCUGUGUUGGGGGCCCCAGACCUUGUCACAGUACCCCAGAUGGGCUCUCAUGAGGACAGAGGAGAGAGAGAGAAUCACCUCCCUUGCCCUGCUGUCCACCCCUCUUCUGAUGGAG